CCUACGGGUGGCAGCAGUGGGGGAUAUUGCCCAAUGGGGGAAACCCUGAUGCAGCGCCGCCGCGUGGGUGAAGAAGCGCCUCGGCGCGUAAAGCCCUGUCAGCAGGGAAGAAAAUGACGGUACCUGAAGAAGAAGCCCCGGCUAACUACGUGCCAGCAGCCGCGGUAAUACGUAGGGGGCAAGCGUUCUCCGGAUUUACUGGGUGUAAAGGGGGCGCAGACGGCGAUGCAAGCCAGGAGUGAAAGCCCGGGGCCCAACCCCGGGACUGCUCUUGGAACUGCGUGGCGAGAGUGCAGGAGGGGUAGGCGGAAUUCCUGGUGUAGCGGUGAAAUGCGUAGAUAGCAGGAGGAACACCGGUGGCGAAGGCGGCCUGCUGGACUGCAACUGACGUUGAGGCCCGAAAGCGUGGGGAGCAAACAGGAUUAGAUACCCUAGUAGUC
This 440-nucleotide ribosomal RNA is filed under the name uncultured bacterium. RNAcentral's name for it is "partial 16S ribosomal RNA". It matches the Rfam family "Bacterial small subunit ribosomal RNA", at positions 338 to 795 of the family's 1533-position model. The record is from RNAcentral.